GAUGAAGAACGUAGCGAAAUGCGAUAAUUAAUGUGAAUUGCAGAAUACCGUGAAUCAUCGAGUCUUUGAACGCACAUUGCGCCUCAUGGCAUUCCGUGAGGCAUGCCCAUCUCAGCAUUAGAAAAUAUUCUCAAAUUUUAGUUUUGUGCUAAAAUUUGGAUCAUGUCAAGGAAGCUAUUACUAUUAUUGUGAUCGCUCUUUGGAAAUUAAUAGGUCUUUGAGUUGCUACUCAUAGAACGUGAUGAAUCUUUCUUCGUUCUAUUGUAAUUCACUCUGGUAGUUCUAAAGGUUGUAUGCCUGUGGCAUAUCUUGUAAUUUGACCUGAGAUUGGGUAGGGAUACCCGCUGAACUUAAGCAUAUCAAUAAGCGGAGGA
Molecule: unclassified non-coding RNA, 374 nt
Filed under: soil metagenome
Description: partial contains internal transcribed spacer 2 and large subunit ribosomal RNA
Rfam family: 5.8S ribosomal RNA (bases 1-120)
Source: RNAcentral